Molecule: transfer RNA, 85 nt
Filed under: Aureimonas jatrophae
Lineage: Bacteria; Pseudomonadati; Pseudomonadota; Alphaproteobacteria; Hyphomicrobiales; Aurantimonadaceae
Description: tRNA-Leu
Rfam family: tRNA
About the family: Transfer RNA (tRNA) molecules are approximately 80 nucleotides in length. Their secondary structure includes four short double-helical elements and three loops (D, anti-codon, and T loops).
Source: RNAcentral
GCGGGCUUGGCGAAAUGGUAGACGCAAGCGACUUAAAAUCGCUCGAGCAUGUCUCGUGCGGGUUCGAGUCCCGCAGCCCGCACCA